Long non-coding RNA from Stegostoma tigrinum, 625 nucleotides. RefSeq lists it as uncharacterized. The record is from RefSeq and is a predicted model, not a curated record. The transcript has 5 exons. Lineage: Eukaryota; Metazoa; Chordata; Chondrichthyes; Orectolobiformes; Stegostomatidae.
AGUUCUGAUGAAAGGCUGACUUGAAAAGUUAACUAAUUAUCUGGCUCCACACAUACUUUCUGAUUUGGUGAACUUUUCAGGAGCAUUGCCAUGUAAGGAAUUAUCCUGCCAAAUGGCCAGAAGCUUGAUUAAAGAGAACUGAGAAGAGAACAGAGAAGAAUCAAAUGGACAGUCUUGGGGAAUGAAUCCUUUGUCUUACAGUCUCUGAAGCCUGGAUUUGCUCAAUAUCUAUGGCUUACACAAAUGACUGCAUCAAUGACACAUAACCAACUGGACAAAAUAAAGCUUCUCAUGAAGAACAGCCUUCCACUGACCCAAGAUAACAAAGUGUGGAGCUGGAUGAACACAGCAGGCCAAGCAUCAUCUUAGGAGCACAAAAGCUCACGUUUUGGGCCUAGACCUUCAUUUUUCUUGCUAUGAAUCCGUCAAAGGACGAUAACGCAGCUGCAUCAUUCUAUCUUUCUGUCUAGUGCAAGACUACAGAGAAAGUAUGUACCGUAAACCUAUGAAAUUGGACCUGGUGUUGCCAUCGUAGCAAAAGAAACAAAACAGCGCAGCAUGCCCAUUGCAUUAAAGACGUUUUACGAAUUUGUCGGAUAAAAGGAAGAGAAAAGCAAAUAUAAUA